RNAcentral lists this ribosomal RNA (253 nucleotides) under uncultured bacterium. RNAcentral's name for it is "partial 16S ribosomal RNA". It matches the Rfam family "Bacterial small subunit ribosomal RNA", at positions 524 to 776 of the family's 1533-position model. The record is from RNAcentral.
UACGGAGGGUGCAAGCGUUGUCCGGAAUCACUGGGCGUAAAGGGCGCGUAGGCGGCUCAUGAAGGCUGUGGUGAAAGUCCGGGGCUCAACCUCGGAUCGGCCAUGGCGACUCGUGGGCUGGAGCACUGUAGAGGCGGGUGGAAUUCCGGGUGUAGCGGUGGAAUGCGUAGAGAUCCGGAAGAACACCAGUGGCGACGGCGGCCCGCUGGGCAGUGGCUGACGCUGAGGCGCGACAGCGUGGGGAGCAAACAGG